GACGAACGCUGGCGGCGUGCUUAAUACAUGCAAGUCAACUGAACUUGAGGUAGCAAUAUCACAAGAGAGGUGGCGCACGGGUGAGUAACACGUAGGUAAUCUGCCUUUAGGUCUGACAUAAUUCCGCGAAAGCGGGACUAAUAUCAGAUGAUGCAGCGGCUCGACAUCGAGACAGUUGUUAAACCUUCGGGGCCUAAAGAUGAGCCUGCGUCUGAUUAGGUAGUUGGCGGAGUAAAAGCCCACCAAGCCUGCGAUCAGUAGCUGGUCUGAGAGGAUGAUCAGCCACACUGGAACUGAGACACGGUCCAGACUCCUACGGGA
RNAcentral lists this ribosomal RNA (321 nucleotides) under uncultured bacterium. RNAcentral's name for it is "bacterial SSU rRNA". It matches the Rfam family "Bacterial small subunit ribosomal RNA", at positions 28 to 346 of the family's 1533-position model. The record is from RNAcentral.